Molecule: non-coding RNA, 73 nt
Organism: Linderina macrospora
Lineage: Eukaryota; Fungi; Kickxellomycota; Kickxellomycetes; Kickxellales; Kickxellaceae
Source: the annotation of a GenBank genome assembly
GCCCGGCUAGCUCAAUCGGUAGAGCGUGAGACUCUUAAUCUCAAGGUUGGGGGUUCGAUCCCCCCGUCGGGCU